UUGUGCUAGACGGGGAGCUAGCGGUGCCCUGUAACCCGGAAUCCGCUAUACCGGGGUCGAAGUCCCACCCGAGGCCUGAAGCAGUGUGCAGGCUUGGCGCAAGUGGCGUUGAUGGUUGGGUCCCGCACAAUCGAAGAUCGCCGAACCCCGUCAGGACCGGAAGGUAGCAGCGGUAAGCGAACCCUCGGUGUGUUGUGGGGUAGCUCAACCUGAGUUAACUACGUCGAACUGCACUCCCGUGGAUGGUCAGAGGUGGGUGCACUC
RNAcentral lists this signal recognition particle RNA (264 nucleotides) under Candidatus Zixiibacteriota bacterium. RNAcentral describes it as "signal recognition particle sRNA large type". It matches the Rfam family "Bacterial large signal recognition particle RNA". Rfam says of the family: The signal recognition particle (SRP) is a universally conserved ribonucleoprotein involved in the co-translational targeting of proteins to membranes. The record is from RNAcentral. Lineage: Bacteria; Pseudomonadati; Candidatus Zixiibacteriota.